Molecule: ribosomal RNA, 445 nt
Filed under: uncultured bacterium
Lineage: Bacteria
Description: partial 16S ribosomal RNA
Rfam family: Bacterial small subunit ribosomal RNA
Source: RNAcentral
GUGAGGAAUAUUGGUCAAUGGGCGAGAGCCUGAACCAACCAAGUCGCGUGAAGGAAGAAGGAUCUAUGGUUCGUAAACUUCUUUUGCAGGGGAAUAAAGUGCAGGACGUGUCCUGUUUUGUAUGUACCCUGAGAAUAAGGAUCGGCUAACUCCGUGCCAGCAGCCGCGGUAAUACGGAGGAUCCGAGCGUUAUCCGGAUUUAUUGGGUUUAAAGGGUGCGUAGGUGGUUUGAUAAGUCAGCGGUGAAAGUUUGCAGCUUAACUGUAAAAAUGCCGUUGAAACUGUCGGACUUGAGUGUAAAUGAGGUAGGCGGAAUGCGUGGUGUAGCGGUGAAAUGCAUAGAUAUCACGCAGAACUCCGAUUGCGAAGGCAGCUUACUAAGCUACAACUGACACUGAAGCACGAAAGCGUGGGGAUCAAACAGGAUUAGAAACCCCUGUAGUCC